Molecule: ribosomal RNA, 1748 nt
Filed under: Drosophila melanogaster (fruit fly)
Lineage: Eukaryota; Metazoa; Arthropoda; Insecta; Diptera; Drosophilidae
Description: eukaryotic LSU rRNA
Rfam family: Eukaryotic large subunit ribosomal RNA
Source: RNAcentral
CCAUAAAGAAGCCGUCGAGAGAUAUCGGAAGAGUUUUCUUUUCUGUUUUAUAGCCGUACUACCAUGGAAGUCUUUCGCAGAGAGAUAUGGUAGAUGGGCUAGAAGAGCAUGACAUAUACUGUUGUGUCGAUAUUUUCUCCUCGGACCUUGAAAAUUUAUGGUGGGGACACGCAAACUUCUCAACAGGCCGUACCAAUAUCCGCAGCUGGUCUCCAAGGUGAAGAGUCUCUAGUCGAUAGAAUAAUGUAGGUAAGGGAAGUCGGCAAAUUAGAUCCGUAACUUCGGGAUAAGGAUUGGCUCUGAAGAUUGAGAUAGUCGGGCUUGAUUGGGAAACAAUAACAUGGUUUAUGUGCUCGUUCUGGGUAAAUAGAGUUUCUAGCAUUUAUGUUAGUUACUUGUUCCCCGGAUAGUUUAGUUACGUAGCCAAUUGUGGAACUUUCUUGCUAAAAUUUUUAAGAAUACUAUUUGGGUUAAACCAAUUAGUUCUUAUUAAUUAUAACGAUUAUCAAUUAACAAUCAAUUCAGAACUGGCACGGACUUGGGGAAUCCGACUGUCUAAUUAAAACAAAGCAUUGUGAUGGCCCUAGCGGGUGUUGACACAAUGUGAUUUCUGCCCAGUGCUCUGAAUGUCAAAGUGAAGAAAUUCAAGUAAGCGCGGGUCAACGGCGGGAGUAACUAUGACUCUCUUAAGGUAGCCAAAUGCCUCGUCAUCUAAUUAGUGACGCGCAUGAAUGGAUUAACGAGAUUCCUACUGUCCCUAUCUACUAUCUAGCGAAACCACAGCCAAGGGAACGGGCUUGGAAUAAUUAGCGGGGAAAGAAGACCCUUUUGAGCUUGACUCUAAUCUGGCAGUGUAAGGAGACAUAAGAGGUGUAGAAUAAGUGGGAGAUAUUAGACCUCGGUUUGGUAUCGUCAAUGAAAUACCACUACUCUUAUUGUUUCCUUACUUACUUGAUUAAAUGGAACGUGUAUCAUUUCCUAGCCAUUAUACGGAUAUAUUUAUUAUAUCUUAUGGUAUUGGGUUUUGAUGCAAGCUUCUUGAUCAAAGUAUCACGAGUUUGUUAUAUAAUCGCAAACAAAUUCUUUAAUAAAACGAUGCAUUUAUGUAUUUUUGAUUUGAAAAUUUGGUAUAACUCCAAUUACUCAGGUAUGAUCCAAUUCAAGGACAUUGCCAGGUAGGGAGUUUGACUGGGGCGGUACAUCUCUCAAAUAAUAACGGAGGUGUCCCAAGGCCAGCUCAGUGCGGACAGAAACCACACAUAGAGCAAAAGGGCAAAUGCUGACUUGAUCUCGGUGUUCAGUACACACAGGGACAGCAAAAGCUCGGCCUAUCGAUCCUUUUGGUUUAAAGAGUUUUUAACAAGAGGUGUCAGAAAAGUUACCAUAGGGAUAACUGGCUUGUGGCGGCCAAGCGUUCAUAGCGACGUCGCUUUUUGAUCCUUCGAUGUCGGCUCUUCCUAUCAUUGUGAAGCAAAAUUCACCAAGCGUUGGAUUGUUCACCCAUGCAAGGGAACGUGAGCUGGGUUUAGACCGUCGUGAGACAGGUUAGUUUUACCCUACUAAUGACAAAACGUUGUUGCGACAGCAUUCCUGCGUAGUACGAGAGGAACCGCAGGUACGGACCAAUGGCACAAUACUUGUUCGAGCGAACAGUGGUAUGACGCUACGUCCGUUGGAUUAUGCCUGAACGCCUCUAAGGUCGUAUCCGUGCUGGACUGCAAUGAUAAAUAAGGGGCAAUUUGCAUUGU